UACGUAGGGUGCAAGCGUUGUCCGGAAUUAUUGGGCGUAAAGAGCUCGUAGGCGGUCUGUCGCGUCUGGUGUGAAAAUCCAGGGCUUAACCCUGGACCUGCAUCGGGUACGGGCAGACUAGAGUGCGGUAGGGGAGAUCGGAAUUCCUGGUGUGGCGGUGAAAUGCGCAGAUAUCAGGAGGAACACCGGUGGCGAAGGCGGAUCUCUGGGCCGUAACUGACGCUGAGGAGCGAAAGCAUGGGGAGCGAACAGG
This 253-nucleotide ribosomal RNA is filed under the name uncultured bacterium. RNAcentral's name for it is "partial 16S ribosomal RNA". It matches the Rfam family "Bacterial small subunit ribosomal RNA", at positions 524 to 776 of the family's 1533-position model. The record is from RNAcentral.